GCGUCGGUGAUGCAACGAUUAGCACACGCUCCCGGAAAGAGUGAGAUAUGUGUUCGAAUCCCGGCUGACGCA
This is a non-coding RNA of Parelaphostrongylus tenuis, 72 nucleotides long. Lineage: Eukaryota; Metazoa; Nematoda; Chromadorea; Rhabditida; Metastrongylidae. The record is from the annotation of a GenBank genome assembly.